Carassius auratus (goldfish) is the source of this 267-nucleotide long non-coding RNA. RefSeq lists it as uncharacterized. NCBI's taxonomy places the organism in Eukaryota, Metazoa, Chordata, Actinopteri, Cypriniformes, Cyprinidae. The record is from RefSeq and is a predicted model, not a curated record. The transcript has 2 exons.
CGGGUGCUGAGGGCAAGCGCUUCCUCCUGGAGCUCACGGUUUCUCCUGUUACACUGCUCCAGUUCAGCGCAUUUGGUGCGGAGCGUGUCCUGCCAUCUUUCCUCCUCUGCCUUCACAGCAGAGGACACCUGGGAGCAGGGGGCUGCUUUUGUACUCGGGGAGAGAGGUCAAGUCCUGGAGCCAUCGAGAACGAGCCCUUGAUAUCGCACCUUCAACCUAGACAAGGCAGAACUGAUUAGAAACGGUAAAACCUGACAAAAUGAGAUA